ACAACAAACUCGUCUAGCCAUGUUAUUUAAUAACAAGGUUUUACGCUGCAGUAACUGAAACAACGGACGAAAUGUCAACUGGAAAAUAACUGGCGAUCCGUCUAUGGAAUGAUGGACCUUUUUUAAAAAGAAACCGUCCUGGUUUCCCAACUGAAACGGAAUUUGUUGGUAAUCUCAGUGUUGCUAGAGCGCACGCGACUGGGGUGAUCAGCACCAUGACUGUUAAAUAACCGUGAGUACCAGAACCGAGUCAAGCAAUCUCCCGUUUAACAGACUUCGCUAUCAUUCGCUUCAAGCCUGGGGACACAAUUUUGAUUGUCGUAUCUCAACCAGCGAGCUUAACUAUUUCUCCCCAACACAUGGAUGCUUUUAUAUCAGAACUUUUCACGCGAGGAAUAUCCAAAGACAGCUUGUACAUUUUCUGUCAUUGUUUGGAGUCCAAGUUCAAUAAGUCUAAGAAAUACGAAACGAUUGUAAAAUGCGAGGACGCCAUCCGAGAAAACGUGACGCUAUGCGGGUAUGACCAGCAGCAAACGCAUACCUUUUAGCGAUGGUCAAUGCUAGUUUCCAGCUUGUCUUAUUUAAGAUGUAGAGCAGCGGAUCAAAAUAUCACCUAAAGGACGAAACACUAUUGAUUCCUCAAACAGGAUCUCCAACACAUAGGAAAAUCGAAAGGUAUUCCACUCACUUUUUAGGUUAAUUUAGCAACAGAACAGUUGUGUAAAUUUUCUCGGAGAAGAAUUUGCUAUUCUAUGGGAAAAAUGAACAUUGUGUGCUGAAGACGAAGAGAGAAAAAAAUGGGAAACUUGGGAGCAAGGCGGAUUGUGAAAGGAGAAGGCACUGAUCAGAAGCAAAUUUUUGGGGAAGUGAAGAUAUUGGUGGAAAACAUAGAAUAUGUAAGACCAAACAAAAUUGGAUAACAGAAAAGAGUUAGAAAAAAAACAUAGAUUGGAAACAUAGAAAAGGGAAACAAAGAUGAAACGUAAAAAAAAAAUUUUUGAUAACACAUAUAUAGGGUCAAAUGGAAAGGAGUAAUGAGGGAAAAGAUAACAUACACAUUUGGGGUUGGAAAAAAAUGACUCAAAAAGUGUAAACGUCCAGAUGCCUUCUUGUGUGAAUCAGCUCGUGUAAGCAGGACUUUAGGGAUGGGAAGUAAUUUUUUUUCAGAAGAUGACAAACCAGGAUGUGCGAAAUACGGUCCCCACCAUAUGGGCCCCGUCAUACGGGCCUGCCUUUUUUCAUGCGACACACGGGCCUAAAAAAAGACGACAUACGGGCCUAUUUUUAUUAGGAUUAAGUAAAUGACAAAAAAUUCAAUACAGCAAUAUUUUUUGUGUAGGGUGUUAUAGUUUUGAUUAAUCUUGGAUGACCUGUCAUCUAAAUAACUAGCUAACGGUUGGCGGAUAUAUAGGACCAGCCGAAAUAGGCCCAGACAAAAUAGACCCACUUUAAAAAAUAAAUAAUGCGUUACUACUAUAUACUAUAUUAUUUCUCCUUCAAAGUGGGCCUAUUUCUCCCUUUUAUUUCUAGGUUUCAUAUUAAACUCCGAAAUAAAUUAAAAAACGGAACAGCUUCCGUCACCCUUUGUAUACUUAGCCAUAGCUCAAACCAUGAUGAGUGAAAUUUACAGAUUGCCUUCUCGUUAUUCAUAUGUUAGUUAACCAAUUUCCGUCUUUAUUUCUUCAUGAACAUAUUCCUCUUUGUCUUAACUAUAAAAUUCAUGUUUUACAAAUUUCGUUUUCUCUUCAUAACUAUCGCAAAUUUACAAAAUUAUCAAAUUUUAGUAUGCUUCGCCAUUUUCUUCUUCCCUAGCGCGAUUCCCCCUUCAGCGACUCAGCCUUCAACGCGUCCCCCCCCCCCUCAGCGGCUUAGCCUUGAAGUCUCGCCCUCUACCGUUGCCCAGAGCGAGAUCAACCGGUUGCCUAUUGGAUAGCAACCCGGGGUAACUCACCAAAGGUCUUGAGUUUGAAUCUCGGUGGAAAUAAAAUUUCAGCUAAAUUACAUUUUGAAAAUUGUGAAAAAAAAACAUUUGCGUUAAGAUCUCCAAUACCAUGCGGUCAAAUAGCAACCUAAGGUUGGGAAGAUUCGUUAAAUGAUGGGGGUAAAGAUUAAUUUUUUUUUGAAUUGUAAGGUUUUGACGAGAUUUUUUUUCUGUGCGCUCAAGUGUAGGUCUAAAAGAUUGCAGAUGUGGUAGAUAGGAGAUGGUUGAAAUCGUUGUGGGCUCAGAAUAUUUAUUUAUUGCAGUUGCAAAAAAAUAUUGCAAUAGUGGAGAAAGAUCUCGAAAGCGAAGAAUCGGAUGGACAAGAAAUGGAUGAGUUUAGUUUCGAAUCCUGUGCUAAGUUUUGUGAGAUCAUAGAUAUUGAGGAGAUUGAAGAGCAUACAAGGAAAUGUGUCGGAAUGAUUCUAUUAUCGAGACAGAAAAGGUUGAUCAUAAACAACAAUUACCUGCUGUUUUGAACGCAAAUGGUCUCAAGAAAAUGCUUACACAUAGAUUAAAUUUUGUACUGCCACCGAUGAAAUAACCUAUGUGAAUAGGGAGGAAUUCGGGAACUUCGUUACUGUGUUGAGAGCCAGCUACAUUGAUGAUGCGAUUCGUUUGUCGAAAUGUCCCAUCUUCAUAUCCAAAGUGAAAAGACCUCUUUUUGUUUUUUUCAGUGGAGAAGUUGGGAUGGACGGUGGUGGUCUUAGAAGGAACUUCCUUUCGAAGAUCGUGGAUUAUGGUGUUCGUGUCUUUGAAAGAUUCGGUACGGAAGUUGGAUUGAAUACAGCAGAUGUAGACGACAUAUACUUCAUGCUUAGUUUCUCUUCAUCUCUUAGCCUCUCCCUUCUUAGCAAUGUCAAGAGAUGGUAUGGCGAUGGGACAUUUUUUAUAACACCAAAACUUUUCGACCAGGUGUUUGGUAUCCAUGCCUUCACCCGGCACGGUACCUUUACGAAGUAGGUCCCUCUUCUUACAGUUCUCAUGUCCGGGAAGAGGAAGAAAGAUUAUGAGGCGGUUCUAUUUUCUAUAAACCUCAUCACCUUCCAAAUUAAGAUGAAGACCGAGGCCGACAAAAUUUCCAUGAAGGCAAAACUCUUUUCUAAAAACAGGCAUUGCGGAGACUAAAUAAAGUUGCUGUGUCCAAGCAGAGUCAUCUGACAACUCUUUGGGACAACUAUAAUCGUGCCGACCAUCCACUUUCUUCUCUCCAAUUGCUGGAGGAACUUGGAAAAAUAACACAAAAGUUUUCAAAAGCUGACCUCAGAGCAAUAAGCGGAGCUAAGGAAGAUGAGCGAUCGGAUUAAACCCCGAAUGGCAAUUAUUUUUCAUUCAUAUUUUGUCUCGUAUUUUGUGUUCGUUUCUCGUCUCAUUUUAGCUACUGGUUAUGACUGAUGACUAGUAGUGAUGUAACCGCUCUCUGACUGUAUCUUUUUGAUCAGCAUCGAGCAGGAUCAUUAGUUCUGUGUACGCUUUCGACAUUUUUUUUGUAUAUUUAUUCAUUUAUUGAAAUUUGCCCCGUACAUCGCUAAAUUUAGGCCCGUCUGGCAGGGCCCGUAUGACAGGGCCCGUACGUUGGACAACCCCCGCAGGGAAAAGUUAAUGAAAGAAAGUAUAUGGCAUUUAAUUAGUCUAUUUUAUUAGUCUUGAACAUGUGAACGUCAAAACAUGUUUAGGCUUUUGACUACAACGUGGAUGUUUCCUUUUACAACUAUCCCAAUCUGAAUUUAUAAAGACUAGAAACGGAUUACUUUAAACAGCUUAAAAGGCAACUAGUUAACGCGAUUAGAAAUGCAAUGGAAACGGAAAGUCAUUUGAAACGCGAAGCAAAAUUACAAAAAUUUAAAGGACUUGAAUAUCUCCACAGAAAGUCAAAUGUCCAUGGUCAUCUCAAAAGUCCUAAGGUUUAGUCAGCAAAGCAAAAGAACCAAUUAAAGUUAACAGAUUUCGGAGAAUCGCACGCUCAAUUAAGUUAAAAAAAAGUCAAACGUUUCGUCGAUCCCAACUAAAAAAGUCAAACAAGGAACCACUUCAUCGUUUGAAGCUCCGGAAAUGUUUGUGUGAGAAGACAAAGCAGGAUGCGAAAAUGAAUCAACCAGUAAUCGUUCUAGAAGAAAACACAUUUUUCCUCAAAGACGAAACUGUAGCCAUACAGAUUAAAGUUAGCUGUUGUGCUGAAGCAAUGGCAUACUUAUGUGCGUUGCAUUACGUUUUUCAAUAUGCCUAACCUGAUGCCCUCCACACAGUUUUCGGCUUUUUUGGAAGGAUGUUGAAAAUUCCCCAAACACCUGUUACAGUCAAUGCAACGAUUGAAUUUUUUGGCUCGUGUAAAUGCUGUGAAUUUCUCUAUAGACAGAUUCUGUUGUGUGUGGCAUAUUUAUAAACCGAACAGAGAUCGAUAUAGAAGUGAAAGUAAAGUAGAUUUUUGUUAAAUAUUGAAUUUAAUACAAAAGUUUGUUUUUCU
Long non-coding RNA from Daphnia pulex (common water flea), 4442 nucleotides. RefSeq lists it as uncharacterized. The record is from RefSeq and is a predicted model, not a curated record. Lineage: Eukaryota; Metazoa; Arthropoda; Branchiopoda; Diplostraca; Daphniidae. The transcript is spliced from 6 exons.